CAGGAAGCAAAUCAGACACCUGGCCCAGUCGCCUCUCUGAUAAGGAGUGGGAGAGAAUGCCAGCCAUGCAUUUCGCGACUCUCCCUCUGCUCGUUCCCAGAAGCACACAUUGAAGCUUCCUUUCCAGGGAAAGAAAAAGGCCACAUUUCUGGGGAAAAAAAAAAAACUUGAAAAAUAACCAAGCACUCGCUGCACAUAAAACAGCUGCUGCGUGCAGACCACUUGGUGCAGCCACGACGCGGGGGAGAGUGAAGACGGGCAAUUCCGGGGCGGUCGUGUCAUCUUUCUGGGUGAGUACACACGUGACACCGAGAGAAGAGAAAGUGGUUUCCCAGGUUGGCGGCACCAGCACGUUGCCAGGCAAUGAGCCAAGACCGAGGGCUCAGACAAAAGACAGAGCGGCCGACUGGGCUCAGCGGACACACAGCGCAGAGCCAGCUGCUGGCUGGGAGGACGCCCUGCAGCCUCGCAGGGAACGUGGGCUCCGGCUUCCAGAGGGCAGCGCCAUUCGCUCACAGACGGCCAGGAGACCCUCCCUGUGCAGGCAAUGCCGGGUGAGGCAUCGCUCCUGAAGAAUUAAUCAGAAACUCAGAAAAAUUCCGCCGAGCAGAAGCCAGAUGAGAAUCCGACUGGAAAUCUAGAAGGAAUCUGACCAGCAUCGCAAAGAAGGGGAGGAGCUGAGUGGGAAGGCAGCCUCAGGGAGCUUCCCCGGAAAGAUGGGCCUGCUCAUUCCAUCCCCGACAGGACUGUCAGUCAUUUCACAACCACGGCUGCUGAUGAAGACAAUCAAACAGCAGCAACCUUCUGAGGUCAAGACAGUGCUGGGCGUCUCUCGGAGUCACUCCCCUAUCUUUUCGUCUGUUCUCUCAGGACAGCUUGGUGACGUUGCUAAGGAAGGAAUUUGUGAAAAUGAGGAAGCGGCCCCAGAAUCCUUGUUGUUUUUCCCCAAACCUGGCUACUGGUGGUCAGAGUGACCUUGAGGUGCCUCACAGGGUUGUUCCAGGUGGCCCAGGUCUGCACCCUCUGACCCAUGGCCGACCAUCUCCAUGGCCUGUAAAGGUGCUUCUCUUAGGUGCCACCCAAGUGCCACGGCAGUGUCAGAGGGAGGCCCAUAGCCAGCCUCCUGAGUCAGAGCCUUUGGGCUGGGACCGGGGCAAGCACAUUUUUAGAAAGUUCCUCCAGGACACGUUUGGUGGAGCUCAUCCAUAAUGCUCUCUGGACAACCUUUGGACUAAGUAACUUUCCUAAAGUCUCUCAACUCAGUGGCCACCACCUUAGAACUGGGAACUGUCCCUCAAUGCCCACUCAGAACUCCCUGGGAAGCUUUGGACUUAGAUGUCUCCAUCGCAGGCACACCCCAGCGAAUAUCUUAUCACCAUGAGCUGCGCUUGCUGAUCUCAUUUAUUCUUCAUGAAAUAUUUGUGGAUUUUCUUUUUGUGGCCAGGCACAGGAUAGACUUAGAACAGCAUCCACUUUGUGAAACAAGUAGGACAGGAAUGCAGAUGAGUAAGGGGCAAGACAAGAAAGCACAGUGAGAUGUGAGAUGUGUCCUGCUAGCAUGGGUGGCGGGUGGCACACAGCAAACUUUGGGGAGUCAGGAAAGGCUUCCAAGAAAAAAAGUGUCUGGGAGUUACUCAUCAACGGCAUAAAGUUUCAAUCAACCAAGAUGAGUAAGCUUCAGACAGCGGCUGUACACCAUUGCAUCUGCAGUCAGCAAUAACACACCGACACCUAAACAUUGGUUAAGACGGUGGAUCUCAUGUUAAGUGUACUAACCAUAAUAGAAUUAAAUAUGAGAAAGAAACAAUGUCUAAACUGAGACCUGUGAGUUAAGAAGGACUUAACCAGGUGAAAAUGGAGGCAGGGAUUCCAGGAAAGAGGCUUUGCAAACAAUCUGUUGUCUCCUCUAAUACACCUUAAGCCCCUCAAGAGCACAAACCAUGUUCAUUUGGCCUGAAUUCUGAGUACCUAGUGAAGGUUCAAUACAUUUUGGUUAAAUGAAUAAUCAACUCAGCUGCUGAUAUAUAUAUAUAUGUUUGAGAUAUACAUAUAUCUCAUAUAUAUAUCUAUAUGAGAUAUAUAUAUGAGAUACAUAUAUGAGAGAGAUAUAUAUAUGUAUAUUUCUCAAACAUGUAUAAAUAUAUGUGUGUAUACACACUCACACACAUAUAUACACAUAAGAGGGCAUUGAGAGAGAGAUUGGCAUUUGCAAAAUAAUUUGUUGCUCAAAUUCAGAGGUAUUUGAGCACGUUAUCUUCUUGCAAAUAAUAGAAAAUUGUACCAUGAUAACCCAUGCAAUCUCUGCUUAAUACAUGAGGAAGAAGAUGCAAAUCUAUGUUCUUUCUUUUACCAGGACCUCACUAUAGGAAGAAAAAAAAAGUAAAGCAACCUCGCAGGUAUCUUUGCUGGUUAACAUCAUAGAGUAUGAAGGGUAUCUUGAUGUGAUCCAUUUUAAGCUACAAAGUUUCUUACAGUCAUACUCAAAACUGGCAAAAUACAGGACAUCAUACACAUUUUCAUAUUUUAUUCUAAUGUUUAUUCUGAGGUCAACAAUAUAAAUUAGUUUCUGAGAUGCGCAGAUAAAUUAAAAUUCCAUGCAGGUGACCAUAGACAUACCCCUACUAUGUGUAUCUGUCUAAACUAUAACCGGAGAGGACUACAAUUAAUCCCUUAAGCCCUUUAUCUUCUUUUCGUCUCCUGCUUGGUUCUACGUAAACACCUUUGCUGAACUGGAAGAUCCAACCAACUUAUACGAGCUUCUUGGAUGCGAAUGAAAACCUCGUGAAUUGCCCAGCAAGUUGACAUUCCUUUCUAGAUCCAGCACAUACAACUCUCUCCAGGUGAGCACAAAGAAAGAAGAGAUUUGAAGUCAGCGAGGUGCGUUUUAUUGGUUCAAAAGGGGAGGUUAUUUUUUAAAGGCUUAUGGAAAAAGGUAGCUAUGUUUGUUCUCUCAAAUAAUCACAUAAAGACCCUGCUAACAUUUCUGGUACAACAACCCUGCCGUGGUUAAUUUCCAGACAAUGAAAGGUGAGAAGGCUGGAAAGGAAACCGAAUCCUGCAGUGUCUAAUCAAUUUUAAUAGAAUCCGCUAAUUGAAUCAUCCACAUCCUUUAAAAAGAGACAUGGAAAUCAUGGAAGCAAGCCUCUGUUUUGGUGCAUUCUUCAUCCCUCAUGGCAUGUCAAAAAAAUUGAAUUUCUCACAGUGGAGAAAGAGUCUGUCAAAGUUAACUUUACCUGGAACUAAUAAAUUAUUAUAUUUCAUCCAAAGGGUUUCCAAUAAGUAGUUAUUCAAAGACUCAAUUUUUCAAUUAAUGUCUCCAAAUGCUUUUCUGAUCAUAAUUUUCCUAGUACAUUUUCAUGUUUGCUUCUCACUAUUGUCUUUGUGAGGAGUGUUGGAAAUUCCCAAGCUGGGGCAACCCCCAGGCUUCUCCCUCCAACCCCUCUCUCACUUGGACUCAGGCUUCCCCAGGGAGCAGACUCAGGGCGCACUGAGGGCAGGAGGAGAUGCUGGCAGCCCCUCAGGGUGGAGGCCACCCUGGAACCUUGACCUAGGGAGUCAGUAGUCUGUGGUGUCAGAAGGUGGCAUUAGAUCAGAGGGCUCAGGAAUCCAUAGUCAAG
This 3617-nucleotide long non-coding RNA is filed under the name Homo sapiens (human). RNAcentral's name for it is "HSALNT0206814". The record is from RNAcentral. Lineage: Eukaryota; Metazoa; Chordata; Mammalia; Primates; Hominidae.